UUUCGGUAGGUGAACCUGCGGAAGGAUCAUUAUUGUAUAACCGAGGUGCGAGGGCUGUCGCUGACCCGAAAGGUCGUGCACGCCCGAGUGCUCUCACACACAUCCAUCUCACCCCUAUGUGCACCACCGCGUGGGUCCCCCUUUGGCUUGUUCGGAGGGGGGCUUACGUUUUCACACAAACUUUGUAUGCAGUGUAGAAUGUAUUUUUUGUUUUUGCGAUCACGCAAUCAAUACAACUUUCAACAACGGAUCUCUUGGCUCUC
This 263-nucleotide unclassified non-coding RNA is filed under the name plant metagenome. RNAcentral describes it as "partial contains small subunit ribosomal RNA, internal transcribed spacer 1, and 5.8S ribosomal RNA". The record is from RNAcentral.